AUUGAACGCUGGCGGCAUGCUUUACACAUGCAAGUCGAACGAGUGGCGGACGGGUGAGUAAUAUAUCGGAACGUGCCCUGUAGCGGGGGAUAACUACUCGAAAGAGUGGCUAAUACCGCAUACUUUUGGAGCGGCCGUUAUCGGAUUAGCUAGUUGGUAGGGUAAAGGCUCACCAAGGCAACGAUCCAUAGCUGGUUUGAGAGGACGACCAGCCACACUGGGACUGAGACACGGCCCAGACUCCUACGGGAGGCAGCAGUGGGGAAUUUUGGACAAUGGGGGAAACCCUGAUCCAGCCAUGCCGCGUGUAUGAGAAGGCCUUCGGGUUGUAAAGUACUUUUGGCAGAGAGGCGGUAUCUGCAGAAUAAGCACCGGCUAACUACGUGCCAGCAGCCGCGGUAAUAC
This 405-nucleotide ribosomal RNA is filed under the name uncultured bacterium. Its description in RNAcentral is "partial 16S ribosomal RNA". It matches the Rfam family "Bacterial small subunit ribosomal RNA", at positions 30 to 526 of the family's 1533-position model. The record is from RNAcentral.